CUACGGGGUGCUGCAGUGAGGAAUAUUGCACAAUGGGGGGAACCCUGAUGCAGCAACGCCGCGUGGAGGAUGACGCAUUUCGGUGUGUAAACUCCUUUUAUAUGUCAAGAAAAUGACGGUAGCAUAUGAAUAAGCACCGGCUAACUCCGUGCCAGCAGCCGCGGUAAUACGGAGGGUGCAAGCGUUACUCGGGAAUCACUGGGCGAAAGGACGCGUAGGCGGGUUGGAAAGUCAGGUGUGAAAUCCUACAGCUUAACUGUAGAACUGCACUUGAAACUUCUAAUCUAGAGUAUGGGAGGGGGAGAUGGAAUUAGUGGUGUAGGGGUAAAAUCCGUAGAUAUCACUAGGAAUACCUAAAGCGAAGGCGAUCUCCUGGAACAUUACUGACGCUAAGGCGUGAAAGCGUGGGGAGCAAACAGGAUUAGAUACCCCAGUAGUC
RNAcentral lists this ribosomal RNA (439 nucleotides) under uncultured bacterium. Its description in RNAcentral is "partial 16S ribosomal RNA". It matches the Rfam family "Bacterial small subunit ribosomal RNA", at positions 339 to 795 of the family's 1533-position model. The record is from RNAcentral.